RNAcentral lists this ribosomal RNA (497 nucleotides) under uncultured bacterium. Its description in RNAcentral is "partial 16S ribosomal RNA". It matches the Rfam family "Bacterial small subunit ribosomal RNA", at positions 28 to 507 of the family's 1533-position model. The record is from RNAcentral.
GAUGAACGCUGGCGGCGUGCCUAAUACAUGCAAGUCGAGCGAACAGACGAGGAGCUUGCUCCUCUGACGUUAGCGGCGGACGGGUGAGUAACACGUGGAUAGCCUACCUAUAAGACUGGGAUAACUUCGGGAAACCGGAGCUAAUACCGGAUAAUAUAUUGAAUCGCAUGGUUCAAUAGUGAAAGACGGUUUUGCUGUCACUUAUAGAUGGAUCCGCGCCGCAUUAGCUAGUUGGUAAGGUAACGGCUUACCAAGGCAACGAUGCGUAGCCGACCUGAGAGGGUGAUCGGCCACACUGGAACUGAGACACGGUCCAGACUCCUACGGGAGGCAGCAGUAGGGAAUCUUCCGCAAUGGGCGAAAGCCUGACGGAGCAACGCCGCGUGAGUGAUGAAGGUCUUCGGAUCGUAAAACUCUGUUAUUAGGGAAGAACAAAUGUGUAAGUAACUAUGCACGUCUUGACGGUACCUAAUCAGAAAGCCACGGCUAACUACGUG